AACGAACGCUGGCGGCAUGCCUAACACAUGCAAGUCGAACGAGACCUUCGGGUCUAGUGGCGCACGGGUGCGUAACGCGUGGGAACCUGCCCUUAGGUUCGGAAUAACUCCCCGAAAGGGGUGCUAAUACCGGAUAAUGUCUUCGGACCAAAGAUUUAUCGCCUUUGGAUGGGCCCGCGUUGGAUUAGCUAGUUGGUAGGGUAAAAGCCUACCAAGGCGACGAUCCAUAGCUGGUCUGAGAGGAUGAUCAGCCACACUGGGACUGAGACACGGCCCAGACUCCUACGGGAAGCAGCAGUGGGGAAUAUUGGACAAUGGGCGAAAGCCUGAUCCAGCAAUGCCGCGUGAGUGAUGAAGGCCUUAGGGUUGUAAAGCUCUUUUACCCGGGAUGAUAACGACAGUACCGGGAGAAUAAGCUCCGGCUAACUCCGUG
RNAcentral lists this ribosomal RNA (433 nucleotides) under uncultured bacterium. RNAcentral's name for it is "partial 16S ribosomal RNA". It matches the Rfam family "Bacterial small subunit ribosomal RNA", at positions 29 to 507 of the family's 1533-position model. The record is from RNAcentral.